Molecule: ribosomal RNA, 172 nt
Filed under: uncultured bacterium
Lineage: Bacteria
Description: partial 16S ribosomal RNA
Rfam family: Bacterial small subunit ribosomal RNA
Source: RNAcentral
CUGAACCAGCCAAGUAGCGUGAAGGAUGACUGCCCUAUGGGUUGUAAACUUCUUUUAUAUGGGAAUAAAGUGGGCCACGUGUGGCUUUUUGUAUGUACCAUAUGAAUAAGGAUCGGCUAACUCCGUGCCAGCAGCCGCGGUAAUACGGAGGAUCCGAGCGUUAUCCGGAUUU